RNAcentral lists this ribosomal RNA (504 nucleotides) under uncultured bacterium. Its description in RNAcentral is "partial 16S ribosomal RNA". It matches the Rfam family "Bacterial small subunit ribosomal RNA", at positions 29 to 523 of the family's 1533-position model. The record is from RNAcentral.
AUUGAACGCUGGCGGCAGGCCUAACACAUGCAAGUCGAGCGGUAGCACAGAGAGCUUGCUCUCGGGUGACGAGCGGCGGACGGGUGAGUAAUGUCUGGGAAACUGCCUGAUGGAGGGGGAUAACUACUGGAAACGGUAGCUAAUACCGCAUAAUGUCGCAAGACCAGAGUGGGGGACCUUCGGGCCUCAUGCCAUCAGAUGUGCCCAGAUGGGAUUAGCUAGUAGGUGGGGUAACGGCUCACCUAGGCGACGAUCCCUAGCUGGUCUGAGAGGAUGACCAGCCACACUGGAACUGAGACACGGUCCAGACUCCGACGGGAGGCAGCAGUGGGGAAUAUUGCACAAUGGGCGCAAGCCUGAUGCAGCCAUGCCGCGUGUGUGAAGAAGGCCUUCGGGUUGUAAAGCACUUUCAGCGGGGAGGAAGGCGUUAAGGUUAAUAGCCUCGGCGAUUGACGUUACCCGCAGAAGAAGCACCGGCUAACUCCGUGCCAGCAGCCGCGGUAA